GGAGUUUGUUACCUCGAGGGUUGGUCAACUUGGGGAACUUAUGCUUUCUUAAUGCGACUCUUCAGGCUCUUCUCUCUUGCUCUCCUUUUGUUCAUCUCCUGCAAGAACUAAAAACACGUGAUAUAACAGAGGCUGGGUAUCCAACUUUGCAUGCCUUUGUUCAGUUCAUCUCUGACUUCGGCAUAUACAUUGAUUCAAGCAUGAAGAAAAAGGAAACAAUUGUUUCAGAAAUUGGGCUGCCAUUUCGACCUCUAAUGUUUGAAUCUGUCCUAAAGAACUUUACUCCGGAUGUCGCCAAUAGCUUGACAGGCAGACCUAGG
Molecule: unclassified non-coding RNA, 320 nt
Filed under: Hevea brasiliensis (rubber tree)
Lineage: Eukaryota; Viridiplantae; Streptophyta; Magnoliopsida; Malpighiales; Euphorbiaceae
Source: RNAcentral